UGUCUCAGUUUUUGCAGUAAGGACAUGCCU
RNAcentral lists this non-coding RNA (30 nucleotides) under Rattus norvegicus (Norway rat). The record is from RNAcentral. Lineage: Eukaryota; Metazoa; Chordata; Mammalia; Rodentia; Muridae.